This is a ribosomal RNA of 876 nucleotides. It matches the Rfam family "Bacterial large subunit ribosomal RNA", at positions 1391 to 2595 of the family's 2925-position model.
UUAAAAAGCGUUAAAGCUUAAUCUCUCCCUAUUUUUAAUUUCAUAAAAUUAAAUGACCCCUUAUUUAAUAUUGAAUGACUUCAUAACCUUAUGAAAAUCAUCAUGCUGGAACUAGUAACAAGAAUUUGACGUUCUCCAAAAUGUAAACAUAAACUAUAAUGGACUGUCCACUAGUAAUUAACGUAAAUGAAACUAAUACACCAACAACCCAAGAAAAACCUGUAUGCCACCCCAACGUUAACCUGACACAAGAACACUUAUGGAAAGAUUAAAAGAAAAAGAAGGAACUCGGCAAACUUUAACCCCGCCUGUUUACCAAAAACAUCGCCUCUUGAUAAAGUAUAAGAGGUCCAGCCUGCCCAGUGAAAAAUUCAACGGCCGCGGUACACUGACCGUGCAAAGGUAGCAUAAUCACUCGCCCCUUAAUUAGGGGCCUGUAUCAACGGCAUCUCGAGGGUUAUUCUGUCUCCUUUUUCUAAUCAGUGAAACUGAUCUACCCGUGAAAAAGCGGGUAUUUAGCUAUAAGACGAGAAGACCCCAUGGAGCUUCAAACCAAAAGCAAAUUAAACUUAUAUACCACUGUAACCUCUAUAUGAUGCGUAUCGGUUUUAGGUUGGGGCAACCGCGGAGAAAAAUUUAACCUCCACAACGAAAAGACCUUAGUCUUUAUUCCAGAGCUACCGCUCUAAGAACUAGAAUACUAACGGAUAAUGAUCCAAUUUAUAAUUGAUCAACGGACCAAGUUACCCUGGGGAUAACAGCGCAAUCUACUUUGAGAGUUCUUAUUGACAAGUGGGUUUACGACCUCGAUGUUGGAUCAGGGUAUCCCAGUGGUGCAGCCGCUACUAAAGGUUCGUUUGUUCAACGAUUAAAACC